This is a long non-coding RNA of Cebus imitator (Panamanian white-faced capuchin), 719 nucleotides long. RefSeq lists it as uncharacterized. NCBI's taxonomy places the organism in Eukaryota, Metazoa, Chordata, Mammalia, Primates, Cebidae. The transcript is spliced from 3 exons. The record is from RefSeq and is a predicted model, not a curated record.
GCGCGCGGUGACGUCACCGCAUCUUUAUAAAGGGCCGCCAAAAGUUUCCUAACGUGUAAACGCGAAAGUUUCCUGAGGUGUAGCUGCAACCAGAAGGCCCAGUUCUGGUGGUGAUUUCACUUUUGACAGAAGCUGUCCCUCAAAAGCAAACGUGUGAUAGAAGAAACAGAUCUCAUCACCUGCAUGGGAGAAAUCAUUCUUAUGACACCCGUCUCCUUUGUGACUUUGCUGGGGUGAAAAGGGGACAAACACCUACACCAAAAUCCAGUCGUCAUCAAGUAGACUCGGAAGCGUCGGCCGUUAGCGCAGAUGGGUGAAGAGCAUGUGCCUGGGCUGACAGCAGCUCUGGUGUCAUUGUUGCUACUGCGGCAAUACAGGAGGGAUCUGUGUUCCAGUGAGGCACAUGUGGUCAGUCAUCCCUCAAGCAAGAGAGGGGUGUUACCACACGCCACCCUCGACUCCCGCAUGCAUCUGUUUGUUUGCCUGAGCCUCCAUUAUGCCAACACAAAUCCCCCACACAUUUGCGGUUUGCAUCCCUUCAUAUUUAUUACACUCUGUCUCCCACUGAACAUCCAGGGAAGAGAAAAAAUUGCGAUGUCAACAAAACUCACUUGUUUUCAUGAACAGCAUUCUUAAUGAGGAGGCACCAACACAUGGCAAAAUUUCUGAAACUCUAAAGAUGGGACAUUGAAUAAAAGAGAGACCUUUUCCUACUUGCA